Molecule: long non-coding RNA, 360 nt
Filed under: Manihot esculenta (cassava)
Lineage: Eukaryota; Viridiplantae; Streptophyta; Magnoliopsida; Malpighiales; Euphorbiaceae
Description: long non-coding RNA (MESC_LNC001965)
Source: RNAcentral
UCACUAUAAAAAAUUAGGGUUGAAUCUGUGUCCUCGCUAGAUCCAUAAGUCAGGCAAAAGAGAGAGUAAGACCUGCAGGUGUGUGAGAAGGAAGUGUAUGAGAAGACCCUGAAAUUUUAGAAAUGAGUAUGUUUAAAAGAAAUAGAACUUCUAGGUCCAGAAACCAGGACGAACUCAUUAAUGAUUUAAACAUUAAUACAGAUCAUAAUACAGUACUAUCUAGAGAAAGUACUUGGGAUAACCAACAAUUAACAAAUUGGAAACCACCAAUAACUCCCAUAAAUGAAAUCUACAAAAAAGGAAUAUUAGAUAUUAAAUCACUAAUAGCAAUAAAAACUAAAGAAAAAGUUAUACCAUUAU